GAGGCUGUGGCUCAGUGGUAGAGCACUUGCCUAGCAUGUGCGAGGUGCUGCGUUUGAUCCUCAGCACCACA
Molecule: transfer RNA, 71 nt
Filed under: Marmota monax (woodchuck)
Lineage: Eukaryota; Metazoa; Chordata; Mammalia; Rodentia; Sciuridae
Description: tRNA.Ala
Source: RNAcentral